This 253-nucleotide ribosomal RNA is filed under the name uncultured bacterium. RNAcentral's name for it is "partial 16S ribosomal RNA". It matches the Rfam family "Bacterial small subunit ribosomal RNA", at positions 524 to 776 of the family's 1533-position model. The record is from RNAcentral.
UACGUAGGGUGCGAGCGUUGUCCGGAAUUAUUGGGCGUAAAGGGCUCGUAGGCGGUUUGUCACGUCGGGAGUGAAAACUCAGGGCUUAACCCUGAGCCUGCUUCCGAUACGGGCAGACUAGAGGUAUGCAGGGGAGAACGGAAUUCCUGGUGUAGCGGUGAAAUGCGCAGAUAUCAGGAGGAACACCGAUGGCGAAGGCAGUUCUCUGGGCCGUAACUGACGCUGAGGAGCGAAAGCGUGGGGAGCGAACAGG